This 1013-nucleotide long non-coding RNA is filed under the name Equus asinus (donkey). RNAcentral's name for it is "lncRNA (ENSEASG00005037640.1)". Lineage: Eukaryota; Metazoa; Chordata; Mammalia; Perissodactyla; Equidae. The record is from RNAcentral.
GUAGAAAUCAAGGAAUGAUGAAAAGGACCUGGAAAUUCAAAGAAGAGAAAAUUCAGGAAAAACUGGAAGUAGAAUUUUCUGGAUCAAGCAGAGGAGGCGGGCGAGCAGAGGAAGGACGUUUUCACCUGUGUCUUUUAUGUAAAGGAAGCCAUCUAAAGUUAUGAACAUAUCUGAGGGACUGGAAUGUUGGGAGAAACAAGAGACUCUCUUCAAUUUUGUAGGUGGCCCAGGACAGGCGGAAAUCUGGGUCUGAGACAUUUAAAGUCAACAGGAGAGAAAAGCAACGGGGCUGAGUUCUUGGGACAACUCAGAGAAGUAAACUGAAGAAAAAUGAAAAAUCAUGUUUUGGAGACACUCCAGCAAGAGAGAGAUUUACCUUCAUGGCCCAGGACACCUGAAGCUGGGGCUCUGGCCACCAGUUAGUGAUGUCCCCAUCACUGGAUCAAGCCCGAGAGCCCCACCCUCCUCAGAAGCCAGUUUCAGACUGGAGUGGUUGUGUGCCUAGGGCCCUAGUUGCGUAGAACUCAGAAUGCCGUGACCUCUAGGUAUGUUGUUACGUGAGACAGGAGGUUCUGGAACACUGUGAGCACAGGUGACUUAUGGGUCACCUGGAAACCAACCACAGCAAACACCAUUUUAAGUGAAAAUAUUCUAAGUUACAGAUGGCUUAAAGGAUCUCAGUUUGUGGAGGUCCUUAAAUGAUGUUCUACCCAAUAUCCUUAUGUCAUUUUUAACAUCUCAGUCCAACAGUUUUCAGAGAAAAAGCUUAUCAGAGUGACAGUCUAACUUGACCCAGGCAGCUUUUUCCUGUCAUUGUAGCAUAAUGUCAACAUUUCUUUUCUCCAUUUAUUAUUUAUCAUAUAAUACCCCUAAAUCCUCAAGAAAACUAUUUGAAAAAAAUUAUUAUGGCACCUUGCAUUUGAUGUGUGCUCUAUAAAAGCUUAUCAUUUUGAAAAGUGAUUCAAUGUGUGAAUGAAUAAUUCCUAAGGAGAAACACAGAAGUGCAGAACAUC